GGAGACUGGUUGUGAUUCUGAGGUAAUGGAGGUGAGGAAACUGGGUGGUGUUAUUUUGUGGGUGGUUUGGUGGUAGUGAGGUUUGGUCGGAGUUCUUUGAUUUAUUAUUCGAGAUGCUUGGUGAAGAUUUGAGCGAAAGAACAUAUGGAUUUGGGAUAAGGGAGGUCUGGUGGUUAUGUGGUGUUAUUUUGAGACUAUUUGGCUUCAACGCCGCCAUACACGACGGAGCAGCCGACAUUUCAAUUGAAUAUUCGACGGGAUUGGCUGCGAUUUAUGGGCUAGUAAUAGUAGAUCUAGAAAGAGGAAGACAGAGAGAAUGGUUGGCGGAGGUGAUUUUUGGCCUGCGGCACAUGGCGGAAGGAGGCGACAUUAGGGUUUUUGGGAUAGACAAGGUACGAGGUUCUAUUUAGUGGGUGGGGGUGUUUAAAACACUUAUGUACAAAGUAACACCUAGCUUCAAUACCGUUUGAUCAAAAGAAAAUGGAUGGCUCUGAUUGGCCGUUACAAAACGACGUCAUUUAGUUGUUGUCUCAUAUGAGACUGGGUUGGGGACAGUUUGUGGGCCGGGUCUUGGGUAUUUUAAAUGGGUUUGGCUGAUUAGGCUAGGAUUUUAUUUAAUGAAAUUACCCAAAAUUGGUCUUCAUUUUUCCAAAAUUUUUCUUUUUCAAAUUCUUUGAAUUUUCUUUUUUUUUUCAUUUUCCAAAAUAUUAAAAAUCCUAGAUAAAUCACAAAAUUCCAAUUUUACCUAAAAAAAUGGAAAACAAUCCCAUAUAAUUAUGAUCAAAAUGAGAUAAAAGGAAAAAUUAUCUAAAAAUUCAAAAAUUAAAAUCAAGAAAGCAAAUUGAACCUAUUUUGUGGUUUUUUCUUUUAUAAAAUGAUUAAUUGCUAAUGGAUGAUCAAAUCAACUUUAAAAUGUGCAUGCAACAUUUUUUGUAUUUUCAAGAAUUAUCUAAAUAAAAAAUGCAAACACAAAAAUUGUGCAAUUAAUCCUAAAAAUCAAAUAAUUAAAAGGAAAAAUCCAAAAUCUAAGAAAUUUAUAGAAGUAAUUCAUGCGGGGCAAAAAUCACAUGCUCACACUAAGGGUAAAACAACAUUAAUGGCCAUGCAAUUGUCAUUUUUGUUUGGCAUGGCACCCCUCAAUUCUAAUUUAAAAGGGUCAAUUCAACUACAUUCGGAGGGCCAUAACCGUUUAUGUUAUCGAAUAUGGCUUACCUCAACUAGUUAAAAGUCUAAUCAAUUAAUACUAAAUGUAAUUAAAGGUUCUAUUUAAGCUAGCUAGGGUGGCUUAUGUAAGGGAAAACUAAUGUUUUUUAUCGGAAAACUUGAGCCACCACAAAGGUUUGGAGGCCCAAACAAAGAAAUGAUCUUCCUCUGAUGUGAAGGGACCCUCAGAAGUACACCUCAAAAUGGCCCAAAUGUGGGACCUUGCAGUUGUUGAGUCAGGACCCAGCAUUGAAUCCUUACCAUAUGAACAACUCUGAAGGUUGUCAGUGAAUUCUAAUCAUUUUUAGCCGAUCUAAUAACACAUAAUUACGGUUUGAUCAUGAAAGCAAUUCCAAUUUCAACGAUUAACAAAAGGCAAUGGAAUUUUACAAUUUCAAUCAACAACGCAGCCAAUCACACUGCUAUCGAACAGAAGUUACCAUAUCUAAUGAUGUUUGAUCAUUCAACAUCUAAUUAAGCAAAAAGCUACUCAGAAUUAUAUGUAGAACUCCAUUAUUGACCCAACUAAGCAAACAUGUUGUUCUAACUUUCAAGCUGAUUUAAACAUUAUGACCAUGUCCAUUUACACAAUACCGGUUUUCAAAUUACAGAAUAUUCGACCAAAAUUGAAUCCAUGUUCAUUUCAAACCAAACUCAACCCCUAAAAGCACUAUCACUGACCAAUAUUCAAACGUAAACAUAUUCAAACUAAAACUCAAAAUAAAGACAAAAUUAAACUCUUCUAAUGAGAAUAAAUGGCCAGCAUGCUUCAACUCUUCCUGAUUUCCAUAUCACAAAAGGUUUUACAGCGGGUUGAGUAAAAAUGUACUUAGAAAUGAGAGUAAAAGUGGUAAGAUUCAGCAGCAGCAAUAACAGGACCCAACAGUAGAAAUAAACCAGGGAAGUAGCUUUAAACCAACAAAAAACUGAUGCUCACCAAUCAAAAUCCACAACCAAAAAACUUCCAAUACCAGAUUCAACCCAUCUCAGCCCAGCAAGUUUAGAAGCUAUUUUGGGAAUUAGAAAUUGAAGAGAUCACAAGAAGAACCCAAUAAAACGGUAACUUCCACAAACUUCAAACCAAAAUUCCCCACAAAUCAACACCAAACCUAGUCCAUUUCAAUCUUCAAACUAUUCAGAAAUUAUCUCAAAAUUGUAGGCUACAACAGCCAAAGGAAAGAGAAGGAAACUUAAUGAAAACAGUAGAGAAUAUUUGGUCGUUGUAUUUUCUGGAAUUCUCUAUCACUCAAUUCUGCCUUGCAAGGUAAGAAUGAGAUGCUUUUAUAGGUAAGCAAAUAGGGCAAAUUUUAGGAUUUUAAUUUUGCACUCUGCCCCC
This 2539-nucleotide long non-coding RNA is filed under the name Nicotiana benthamiana. RNAcentral's name for it is "long non-coding RNA (NBEN_LNC037445)". Lineage: Eukaryota; Viridiplantae; Streptophyta; Magnoliopsida; Solanales; Solanaceae. The record is from RNAcentral.